This 463-nucleotide ribosomal RNA is filed under the name uncultured bacterium. RNAcentral describes it as "partial 16S ribosomal RNA". It matches the Rfam family "Bacterial small subunit ribosomal RNA", at positions 28 to 507 of the family's 1533-position model. The record is from RNAcentral.
GACGAACGCUGGCGGCGUGCUUAACACAUGCAAGUCGAACGGUAAGGCCCUUCGGGGUACACGAGUGGCGAACGGGUGAGUAACGCGUGAGUAACCUGCCCUUCACUCUGGGAUAACAGUUGGAAACGGCUGCUAAUACCGGAUAUUCAGCUCCUGUCGCAUGGUGGGGGUUGGAAAGUUUUGGUGGUGGAGGAUGGGCUCGCGUCCUAUCAGCUUGUUGGUGGGGUGAUGGCCUACCAAGGCGUCGACGGGUAGCCGGCCUGAGAGGGCGACCGGCCACAUUGGGACUGAGAUACGGCCCAAACUCCUACGGGGGGCAGCAGUGGGGAAUAUUGCACAAUGGGCGGAAGCCUGAUGCAGCAACGCCGCGUGCGGGAUGACGGCCUUCGGGUUGUAAACCGCUUUCAGCAGGGACGAAGCGAAAGUGACGGUACCUGCAGAAGAAGCACCGGCUAACUACGUG